Molecule: ribosomal RNA, 481 nt
Filed under: uncultured bacterium
Lineage: Bacteria
Description: partial 16S ribosomal RNA
Rfam family: Bacterial small subunit ribosomal RNA
Source: RNAcentral
GACGAACGCUGGCGGCGUGCCUAACACAUGCAAGUCGAACGGAGUGAAGCCCCUCGGGACUUCGCUUAGUGGCGAACGGGUGGGUAACGCGUGAGGAACCUGCCUUUCAGUGGGGGACAACAGUUGGAAACGACUGCUAAUACCGCAUAAUGCUUUCGAGCGGCAUCGCUUGAAAGCCAAAGAUUUAUCGCUGAAAGAUGGUCUCGCGUCUGAUUAGCUAGUUGGUGAGGUAACGGCUCCCCAAGGGGACGAUCAUUAGCCGGUCUGAGAGGAGGAACGGCCACAUUGGGACGGAGAUACGGCCCAGACUCCUACGGGAGGAAACAGUGGGAAAUAUUGGGCAAUGGGGGAAACCCUGACCCAGCAACGCCGCGUGAAGGAAGAAGGCUUUCGGGUUGUAAACUUCUUUUACCAGGGGCGAAGAAAGUGACGGUACCUGGAGAAAAGGCAACGGCUAACUGCGUGCCAGCCGCCGCCGUAA